AUGUCGCACAUCGCGGUGGAGCGGAACCGGCGGCGGCAGAUGAACGACCACCUGAAGGUGCUCCGGGCGCUCACGCCGGCCUUCUACAUCAAGCGCUGCGACCAGGCGUCCAUUAUCGGCGGCGCCAUCGAGUUCAUCCGGGAGCUGCACACCGUGCUGGACGCGCUGGAGGCCAAGAAGAAGCGCCGCCUCUGCAGCCCCACCCCGAGCCCGCGCUCCCUCCUCACCUGCUCCACGCCCACCAGCGCCGGGGGAUCGGCCUCCGACGUCUCCCCCAACAGCAACGGCAGCAGCGGCGGCAGCUGCAUUGUGCCGCCCGGCAUCGGCGGCGCCGCCGUGAAGGAGCUCGCGGCCUGCUGCAACUCCCCGGCCGCCGACGUCGAGGCCAGGAUCUCCGGCGCCAACGUGCUGCUCCGCACGCUCUCCGGCCGCAUCCCCGCCCAGGCCGCCAGGAUCGUCGCGCUGCUCGAGAGCCUCCACCUCGAGGUGCUCCACGUCAACAUCAGCACCAUGGACGACACCGUCCUCCACUCCUUCGUCCUCAAGAUUGGGCUCGAGUGCCAGCUCAGCGUGGAGGAUGUCGCCUUCGAGGUCCAGCAGACCUUCUGCUACCACCAGGAGCUCGACUACUCAUCCAUGGCGAUAUAA
This 648-nucleotide ribosomal RNA is filed under the name Triticum aestivum (bread wheat). RNAcentral's name for it is "partial small subunit ribosomal RNA". The record is from RNAcentral. Lineage: Eukaryota; Viridiplantae; Streptophyta; Magnoliopsida; Poales; Poaceae.